Molecule: unclassified non-coding RNA, 431 nt
Filed under: soil metagenome
Description: partial contains 5.8S ribosomal RNA, internal transcribed spacer 2, and large subunit ribosomal RNA
Rfam family: 5.8S ribosomal RNA (bases 1-120)
Source: RNAcentral
GAUGAAGAACGUAGCGAAAUGCGAUACGUAAUGUGAAUUGCAGAAUUCAGUGAAUCAUCGAAUCUUUGAACGCAUAUUGCGCUCUCUGGUAUUCCGGAGAGCAUGCUUGUUUGAGUAUCAGUAAACACCUCAACUUCCAUAUCUUUUUUGAAAUGGGAGUUGGACUUGAGUGAUCCCAACGCUUUUCCUCACCGAAAAGUGGCGGGUUACUUGAAAUGCAGGUGCAGCUGGACUUUUCUCUGAGCUAUAAGCAUAUCUAUUUAGUCUGCCUAAAAACAGAUUAUUACCUUUGCUGCAGCUAACAUAAAGGAGAUUAGUUCUUGUGCUGACUGAUGCAGGAUUCACAAAGACAGGCUUCGGCCGACUUUGUAAACUCGAUCUCAAAUCAAGUAAGACUACCCGCUGAACUUAAGCAUAUCAAUAAGGGAGGA